AUUGUAUGUAUGAUUUAUAAUUACUCUCGAACGUAUCAUCUGGGUUCCCGUGUUGUGAUUGAAGUUAGAGGAACUAGAAGGGUCAAAGGUUAUAUGAAGACACU
This is a long non-coding RNA of Sander lucioperca (pikeperch), 104 nucleotides long. RefSeq lists it as uncharacterized. The record is from RefSeq and is a predicted model, not a curated record. Lineage: Eukaryota; Metazoa; Chordata; Actinopteri; Perciformes; Percidae. The transcript has 3 exons.